This is a non-coding RNA of Viridothelium virens, 123 nucleotides long. Lineage: Eukaryota; Fungi; Ascomycota; Dothideomycetes; Trypetheliales; Trypetheliaceae. The record is from the annotation of a GenBank genome assembly.
GCCCGCUUGGCUUAGGGGUACAGCGGUAAGACUUCUCACUUCUCAUUGUCUAUGUUAGACGCUAAGCAGCAAAUAGUGUCACUCGUAAUGACAAGAUCCUCGGUUCGAUUCCGAGAGUGGGCA